GCCGCACUCCCUUUCUGCCGCAGGGGUCCCCCCCUCCAAGCACCAGCGGGAGGAGGCGCCGCAGGACCUGUCCCAGCCGGGUUCUCCUUCCCCUCCAGGAAGCCGGACUCUAUGUGGCGGGACCCUGGAGGAGACAGAGCAGAGCCUGGAGCCAGCCCCGAACCCCUGAACCUCGAGCCAGGGGCACCCCGGGAGCACCCAGCCCGCGGGCGCGCCGCCCGCCGCCGAGCAGCCAUGAGUGAGACGGCCGUCUGUUCUAGCCGGGCCACUGUGAUGCUUUACGAUGACGGCAACAAGCGAUGGCUGCCCGCCGGCACCGGUCCCCAGGCCUUCAGCCGUGUCCAGAUCUACCACAACCCCACAGCCAAUUCCUUCCGGGUCGUGGGCCGGAAGAUGCAGCCUGACCAGCAGGUGGUCAUCAACUGUGCCAUCGUCCGGGGUGUCAAGUAUCAUCAAGCCACCCCUACCUUCCACCAGUGGCGCGACGCCCGCCAGGUCUGGGGCCUCAACUUCGGCAGCAAGGAGGAUGCAGCACAGUUUUCCGCCGGCAUGGCCAGUGCCCUAGAGGCGUUGGAAGGAGGUGGGCCUCCUCCGCCCGCAGCACCUCCCACCUGGUCUGUGCAGAACGGCCCCUCCCCGGAGGAGGUGGAGCAGCACAGAAGGCAGCAGUCUGGCCAGCCGGAACUGGAGCGCAGGGUCUCCAAUGCAGGAGGCCCACCUGCUCCCCCAGCUGGGGGCCCACCCCCACCACCAGGACCUCCUCCUCCUCCGGGUCCCCCCCCACCUCCGGGUCUGCCCCCCUCCGGGGUGUCUACUGCAGGGCAUGGAGCAGGGGGAGGCCCACCCCCUGCACCCCCUCUCCCCGCAGCACAGGGCCCCAGUGGUGGGGGGGCCGGGGCCCCAGGCCUGGCCGCAGCCAUUGCUGGAGCCAAACUCAGGAAAGUCAGCAAGCAGGAGGAGGCCUUAGGGGGGCCCGUGGCCCCCAAAGCUGAGAGCAGCCGCAGCACAGGCGGGGGGCUCAUGGAAGAGAUGAACGCCAUGCUGGCCCGCAGAAGGAAAGCCACGCAGGUUGGGGAGAAACCCCCCAAGGAUGACUCUGCCAAUCAGGAGGAGCCAGAGGCCAGAGUCCCAGCCCAGAGUGAAUCUGUGCGGAGACCCUGGGAGAAGAACAGCACAACCUUGCCGAGGAUGAAGUCGUCUUCGGCACUCACUUCCGAGGCCCACCCCUGUACACCUAGCUCCAGUGAUGAGUCAGACCUGGAGAGAGUGAAACAGGAGCUUCUGGAAGAGGUGAGGAAGGAAUUGCAGAAAGUGAAAGAGGAAAUAAUUGAAGCCUUUGUCCAGGAGCUGAGGAAGCGGGGUUCUCCCUGACCACAGGGACACAGAAGAUCCAUUUCUCCCUUCUGCACACCCCACCUCUCACCCUGCUUUCCCUGCCUCGGCUUGACUUGGAAUUGGCUGAAGACUGCACAGGAAUGCAUCUCCCCCAUUCCCCAUCCCACUUGGAAAAGUCCAAGGGGGUGUGGCUUCCCUGCCUACACCCAUACUGGCUGCUGAUUGGCUGGCGAGGCCCCCACCCUUUCUUCUCUUUGGUCCUUCCCCUCUACCAUCCCCUUGGGGCUGGUUCCUCUGCUGGGGAUGUACCAGUUAACCCCGCAGUGAGGGGGAAGGAAGGAGGGAAUUUCACAUUCCCUUGUUCUAGAUUCACUUUAAAGCUUAAUGCCUUUGAAUUUUUGUUUUUUAAAGAAAAUAUAUAUAUAUAUUUGGGUUUCGGGGGGAAAGGGAAAUUUUUUUUUCUCUUUGGUUUUGAUAAAAUGGGGUGUGGGAGUUUUUAAAUGCUAUAGCCCCAGGCUUGCCCCAUUUGGGGCAGCUAUUUAAGGGGGGGAUGUCCCACCAGGCUGGGCGAACCUCCUCCCACCCCAGGGACUUACCUCCCCCCUGGCUCCUUCCCCUUUUCUAUAAGGAAUUAAGAUGCUGUAACUUUUUGGAA
This is a non-coding RNA of Microcebus murinus (gray mouse lemur), 1990 nucleotides long. The record is from RefSeq and is a predicted model, not a curated record. Lineage: Eukaryota; Metazoa; Chordata; Mammalia; Primates; Cheirogaleidae.